Alligator mississippiensis (American alligator) is the source of this 5132-nucleotide long non-coding RNA. RefSeq lists it as uncharacterized. The record is from RefSeq and is a predicted model, not a curated record. The transcript is spliced from 5 exons. Lineage: Eukaryota; Metazoa; Chordata; Crocodylia; Alligatoridae.
GAUCCCGAGCCUGGGGGAGAGGUUGGAAGUAGGGGUGCACCGAUAGAGAUGUUUUGGGCCGAUACCGAUGGCCGAUUUUUUCCGAGCCAUAAGCGGUUGAUACAGAGCUGAUUGCCGAUACGCAGCCCGGCAGCUUGGAGAGCGGUGUUGGGCUGCUCCCACCGGUGGAAGCCCAGCAAGGGACCGGAAAUCCCCAGCCACCGCCCGCCAGCUCCAAGGGCACCAUGAGAGCCCGGAUGUACUGGGACCCCGCGGAGGAGGAGCUGCUCCGGUGCCAGGAGCCCUGGGACAAGACCCGAAGCAUCAGUGACCUGGGCCACUUCCAGAGGCUCCGCCAGAGCACCCAAGUGGCCCUGCGGGCGAGCCAGAGACUUGAAAAGAAGCUGAAGAGGGAGGAAAGGUUGCUGCUGCUCCUGGAGCCCAAUCCUGCCAUCCUGGGGCAGCUGUAGGGAGUGAGGAGACAGCUCUUCCGGCUGGGCAGGGAGUGGAGGCAGCAAAGCAUCCGGCUGCAGCAACUGGAGCUGGUUAUCGGGAGGAGGGAACAAUGCCAGAAGAAAUGCUCCCGGGACGAGGGGCAGCUGAGCAUCAGGGGAAGGAGCCAGAAGGACGCCUUCUCCAUGGCUGGGCCCUCAGCAUUCCUGAAAAAGUCAAGAUUCCCUUCCCUUAAGCAAUAAACAGCUAGUUAAAAAUUCAACUGGCUGCAGUACUCCAGGUUCUGGCCCAGCAUGAAGGCCCGGAUCCAUUGCACUUGUACAGGGACCAGACUUUGUUAUUAAGAGCCUCCAGUACGAGGCACGAGACUGGGAGAAAAGGGGUUGGUGGACGGUGGAUAGAAAGGAAGUCAGUAAUAGAGAAACUGGGGAAGACAGUCUAAAAUGGAUUAGGGCACGGCCAGGUCGGCUUCAAGCCUGACAUGCACGAGUGCAUGGAAAAGGGGAAGACAAGGCCUCGCCAAGUGCCCGUCGGCGUGUCUGCUGCAACCCGUUCUUCCGCGCAAUCCAGUGGGGACCCUCGGGUGCAGGAAAGCAAGAAAUAAUUGCCCAAUGUCAGCAGUGGUUGCAUGGAGGGGUAGAGGGAACCGUAACCAGGGGCAGCACGUCAUGGAACAAGGGACCCGGUAAAGAAACGGGUGCCUAAGAUGCCAAUUAGUAAAUGCUAAGCUGGGGGAGACACUCCCCCGAUGUAUCAAAGAAGGACCAGUCCACGGUCCGGGUUACAAAUGGAUUAUAUAGACGCACUUUCGGUGACUAAGGAAGGGUAUAAAUACUUGUUAGCAGUGGCGGAUGCUUUUUCGGGAGGGGCUGAAGCCUUCCCAAUAAAGGCACACACCGCAGGAGCUACGGCUAACGUGGUCUUCAAGGGAGUGUUCUCCAGGCCUGGGACCCGGGCGAUAACUGACUCAGAUAGGGGACCGUACUUUGUGGGAGAAACUACGAAAGCCCUGACACAGGCUUUAGGGAUACAACAGAAGCGGCGUGUGUCCUACCGUCCUCCGGCCAGGUGGAGACAACGAGCCGAAGCGUUGAGGAAGGUUGUGUGUGCCAGCGGUAAGAAAUGGACUGAGAAGUCGCCCCUUCUUUUGGCAGCCGUUAGAUCAGCCACCCGACUGAGACCACGUUUAACGCCAUAUCACAUUAUAUUUGACCGUCCGAUGGAGCUCCGGAUCAACCCGCUGCAGCUCCGACCAGAUGAAAUUCAAGAAACAGGUGUAAUCUCGUGGAUUAAAUAGCUGCAAGAAGACAAGGCAGUGUAUAAGCACAAACCAGAAGAAGCCCUGUUGAAAACCUGAGCUAAGAUGCAAGGAAAGCACGAGGUUGCCCCCCAGCUAUGGCAAGUAGGGGACCAGGUAAUGUACCUGAAAUACAGGAAACCCCGCCAUAACCUACACACCAGAUGAGAAAGUCCAUGUUGCACUGUUAACCUAGCUGGCCCGAUGGUGUGCCAGAUUGACACGGGGCCCGAGGGUAUGUAUAUGGGUACACCGUGCUCAAUUAAACAAUAUGGGAUAAAACCUCCCCGGAUGCGGGUUUGUCUUCUUAUCUUUCAGGUUUUAGACGCCGAAGACAUCGCUCUGCAGAGGCUCGGUGAGAGGUUCACAUUAAAUAAGUAAGCCAGCAUUAAUCCUACUGUGCGAUCGCAACUGUUGCGUGUGGUUUGUGUGUUUUGUCUAUGGUAGUGGCUGUUGGCAAGCUUAGAAGGAUAGGGAAAGAGUAGAGAGACUUGUGUUGUUGCUUAUAUUGUAGAGAAACAUGAAGAUCCAGGAGGGGUUUAUUUUCUGGAUUGGACUUGCAAUGGCGGAGGCGUGCAUGGGAUACGAGUAUUGACCUCAAUAUCAAAUUGAGCCUGGGUCGAUACAGGACACAUAGGGCAUGACAUCCAUUGUAUAAGGUUCAGCAUAUCAUGAAGUGUGCAAAUGUGGUGCAUGUGACUACCGAAGAAGCAGCAGGUGGCAUGAAGACAACAGAAGGCCGUGGUUGCUUUUGUAACCGAAGAUAAGACUGUUUUGAAGGCCGACUCUUUCAGCUGGCCGCACAAUAUCCUCGAUAAAGAGGAACCGGCUUCAAACCAGCUCCAACUGGUGAGAUGAGAGGGCGCUUGUGAUGUGCUGACCAAGCACCGCAUGCCGGAAGAAGCAUCUAGAAAUCUUGCCCAGCAACAUAAAGUGUAGAAAAGGGGGCAAAAGAGAGGAUGAUGCAGGAACGUGCCUCAGCACCAGCGCCCGCGCCAGGUCAGAUGCCCUGCUCCAUCAACGGAUAGGGACCGGCCAUCCCUAUCUCCAGUGCCCUCGGGGUCGUGUGUGUGUGUCACCUGCGAGAAUGUAUGUGAGUGUGCGUGCGUGCGUGUGUGGUAGGGUAACACAACUCCUAAUAAGCUAAUGGUCUCUAAUAAGUGUAAAACUCCCCAGCACCCUUAGCAAUAAAGUACCCCGCUGAAAAGGGACUAACGUUUUCUCAUUAGUCCCAGUGCUGGGUUACAAGGGCACGGGGCAGAGGGCCCAGGCUGUGAGAGGGGGCAGGGGGCAUGCUCCGAGGGAUGAAAUGAGGGACCCUCAUGCAAAAGACGGCCACUCGGUUCCUGGAGCAAAGGGGGCGUCGUUGGCCAGGAUGAUCCAGACAGGUGUUGAAAGCUGGAUUCAUGAUGUAAAUGAUGACAACGACGACGACAUGCUUAACUUUCUUCCUUCCCCCUUUCAUGCUUUUCUUAACUUGACUCCUUUGACAGCUCCUUGCCUGUGGAUCAUCUCUCUGCAGUCGGCUUAUUGUCCAUAUUUCAUCCUGUCAGCACAGCCCUUUGUUCCACAUCCCCAUUAUGAGCACACCUCUUAAUUUGGCCUUUUUUCCGUUGUCUUACUUUAACCAUUGUUCAUUGGUCUCCUUUAUCACCUUUCAUUAACAGAUCCAAUCAUUCCAUCCCUCUGAUUCAGCCGAUUAGCGCCAAGUUCAGUUAAGUUGAGCUAGUAACAAACCUAUUGCUACGUUGUGUCAGAAAACCUUCUCGCAGUGAUAGACAAAGGAAAGCAACAUCACGCGAGCAACCUCAAGACCAUGAGCUGCUUGCAAGACACAAGGCCUGGCAUUGCUGCUCUAACAUUGAACAUUUGCUGUUCAGGAUGGACGGCAACUGGAGCAUGUGCCGCUGUAUGCAUCUUCAGGAUGGUCGAGGUUACAGAUCCCACCAGACCGCCCUUCAUUGGAUGGGUUUAGAAAGGAUCUGCGCUUAUUAGUAACGCGAUAUGGGCGUGAUCCAUGACAGCUCCACUCUUCUUCUUUGUGCUACGAUUAGCGUUCGCUCUCGUCUAGUCUUUAUGCAGAUGGGACCUGCAGUAAACGCAUUUGGGAGAACUACUACGUUUACUAGGAAAAUAUCUGAUAGCCCACGUCUCCGUGCUGCUCAUGGGUGUCUCUAUCCUGAGCUGUCCCUCAGGUGAUUUUUGCAGAAGGCGGUGACACGCGGUCUCUCAACUGUAUUAGGAGGAGGGAAAGCCAGCGUAGGUGUGCUGAAGGCUAGGGAUACCGAACCCUUGGCUGGUAAAUUGUCCCGAGUGACCCAUCACUUGCAAGACAUCAGAGCUCCUCUUCCCUCCUCUCCGUCCAAAAUCAGCAUUCAGGAUUGGUCGAGCGCAAAGUUACUCCCCAAGUGGAGAGGCUUCAACGAGCCGAAACAUCGAUUAAUGGGACGUGCUUGAGGUAAAAUGCACAUUAACAUGCUUUAAUGCACAUUAGCCUACUUUAAUGUGCAUUAACACAUCACUUCAAAACCGUGCUCAAUAAAGGUGUUACCAAGUGCUGAAGCUGCUCAGGUCAGUCUGGUGGCCAGCCAGGCUGAGCCGAGUGAUGGAGUCAGGUCUUGUUGGAUGUGCCUAAAACGCCUUCUUGCAGGUGGAAGAGAUCCAAAGCUUUGUCUUUGUGUUCAUUCUUUAUAGUGCUCGCAGUCCAUACCAGCCUGUGGAUUCGGCUGAGUCAGACACAAAGGUCAUCCUCCUUGUCCUGUUGGCAGGCUGGGAUUGUUAGGACAUGAUCUAAUGGCUUUGUGGUCUGCAAUCUUCAGGGGGGUCGUUGCUUGCAGUCUUCAGCCAUCAAGGCUUUUUGCCUAUUGCUUUUAAUCGUAUGUAUUUUCUUGAGUUUUGCAUUGCCUUAAGAAACUCCAUUUUGUAUUGCUCUGUAGCUGGACAUAAGUGUUCGACCUGUGUAUGCUGGCUCAGAGUGUGUCUGUGGAAAAGGAAAACAUCAGCUGGCGACUAGCUGAAGAAGGCAGAGAGAUGAAAGACCAAGCAAGAAGAAUCUGCCCCCAAACAGCGAGAGCACAACGGCAAUCAGUCUUCAAGGAAGAACACAGCGAUAACACAGCAAGAGCCCAGAGGACUGGGUGAAUUGACAAGGCUAUAAAAGAUGGGGCGAGACGUAUUGAUUCUGGGCCUUGUUCUGCACGUCAUCCUGGAGCAUCGGUUCAUCUGACGAGAUGGACCGGCAGGAGCCCGGUUUCCACUCGGGAUCAACUUGGCUGGCCACUAAGUUGAUCCGAGCACCGAUAAGACCAGUAACGUAUACCACUGCAGAACAGAAAUUGGGUUAGUGUGUGUGUGUGUGUGUGUGUAUUAAGCGCUCAAUCAAUAAACUCGGCAUCUUGCCUUA